UGGAGAGUUUGAUCCUGGCUCAGGACGAACGCUGGCGGCGUGCUUAACACAUGCAAGUCGAGCGGUAAGGCCCUUCGGGGUACACGAGCGGCGAACGGGUGAGUAACACGUGGGUGAUCUGCCUCGUACUCUGGGAUAAGCCUGGGAAACUGGGUCUAAUACCGGAUAUGACCACGAAUCGCAUGGUUUGUGGUGGAAAGAUUUAUCGGUGCGAGAUGGGCCCGCGGCCUAUCAGCUUGUUGGUGGGGUAAUGGCCUACCAAGGCGACGACGGGUAGCCGGCCUGAGAGGGCGACCGGCCACACUGGGACUGAGACACGGCCCAGACUCCUACGGGAGGCAGCAGUGGGGAAUAUUGCACAAUGGGCGGAAGCCUGAUGCAGCGACGCCGCGUGAGGGAUGACGGCCUUCGGGUUGUAAACCUCUUUCGACAGGGACGAAGCGCAAGUGACGGUACCUGUAGAAGAAGCACCGGCCAACUACGUGCCAGCAGCCGCGGUA
This 500-nucleotide ribosomal RNA is filed under the name Nocardia nova. RNAcentral describes it as "bacterial SSU rRNA". It matches the Rfam family "Bacterial small subunit ribosomal RNA", at positions 1 to 522 of the family's 1533-position model. The record is from RNAcentral. Lineage: Bacteria; Bacillati; Actinomycetota; Actinomycetes; Mycobacteriales; Nocardiaceae.